AGCAUAUCAAUAAGCGGAGGAAAAGAAACUAACAAGGAUUCCCCUAGUAACUGCGAGUGAAGCGGGAAAAGCUCAAAUUUAAAAUCUGGCAGUCUUUGGCUGUCCGAGUUGUAAUCUAGAGAAGUGUUAUCCGCGCUGGACCGUGUACAAGUCUCCUGGAAUGGAGCGUCAUAGAGGGUGAGAAUCCCGUCUUUGACACGGACUGCCAGGGCUUUGUGAUGCGCUCUCAAAGAGUCGAGUUGUUUGGGAAUGCAGCUCAAAAUGGGUGGUAAAUUCCAUCUAAAGCUAAAUAUUGGCGAGAGACCGAUAGCGAACAAGUACCGUGAGGGAAAGAUGAAAAGAACUUUGGAAAGAGAGUUAAACAGUACGUGAAAUUGCUGAAAGGGAAACGCUUGAAGUCAGUCGCGUUGGCCAGGGAUCAACCUUGCUUUUGCUUGGUGUACUUUCUGGUUGAUGGGUCAGCAUCAAUUUUGACUAUUGGAGAAAGGUCAGGGGAAUGUGACAUCUUCGGAUGUGUUAUAGCCCUUGGUUGUAUACAAUGGUUGGGAUUGAGGAACUCAGCACGCCGCAAGGCCGGGUUUUUAACCACGUACGUGCUUAGGAUGCUGGCAUAAUGGCUUUAAUCGACCCGUCUUGAAACACGGACCAAGGAGUCUAACAUACCUGCGAGUGUUUGGGUGGAAAACCCGAGCGCGUAAUUAAAGUGAAAGUUGAGAUCCCUGUCGUGGGGGGCAUCGACGCCCGGACCAGACCUUUUGUGACGGUUCCGCGGUAGAGCAUGUAUGUUGGGACCCGAAAGAUGGUGAACUAUGCCUGAAUAGGGUGAAGCCAGAGGAAACUCUGGUGGAGGCUCGUAGCGAUUCUGACGUGCAAAUCGAUCGUCAAAUUUGGGUAUAGGGGCGAAAGACUAAUCGAACCAUCUAGUAGCUG
RNAcentral lists this ribosomal RNA (930 nucleotides) under Cortinarius pholiotellus. Its description in RNAcentral is "LSU rRNA". It matches the Rfam family "Eukaryotic large subunit ribosomal RNA", at positions 37 to 953 of the family's 3401-position model. Lineage: Eukaryota; Fungi; Basidiomycota; Agaricomycetes; Agaricales; Cortinariaceae. The record is from RNAcentral.